UACCAGCACCCCGAGUGGUCGGGACGAUUAUUGGGCCUAAAGCAUCCGUAGCCGGUUCUGCAAGUCCCCCGUUAAAUCCAGCUGCUCAACAGAUGGGCCGCGGAGGAUACUACAGAGCUAGGAGGCAGGAGAGGCAAGCGGUACUCAGUGGGUAGGGGUAAAAUCCGUUGAUCCAUUGAAGACCACCAGUGGCGAAGGCGGCUUGCCAGAAUGCGCUCGACGGUGAGGGAUGAAAGCUAGGGGAGCAAACAGG
RNAcentral lists this ribosomal RNA (253 nucleotides) under uncultured bacterium. RNAcentral's name for it is "partial 16S ribosomal RNA". It matches the Rfam family "Archaeal small subunit ribosomal RNA", at positions 474 to 727 of the family's 1478-position model. The record is from RNAcentral.